RNAcentral lists this ribosomal RNA (425 nucleotides) under uncultured bacterium. RNAcentral's name for it is "partial 16S ribosomal RNA". It matches the Rfam family "Bacterial small subunit ribosomal RNA", at positions 354 to 796 of the family's 1533-position model. The record is from RNAcentral.
GUGGGGAAUCUUGCGCAAUGGGCGAAAGCCUGACGCAGCCAUGCCGCGUGAAUGAUGAAGGUCUUAGGAUUGUAAAAUUCUUUCACCGGGGACGAUAAUGACGGUACCCGGAGAAGAAGCCCCGGCUAACUUCGUGCCAGCAGCCGCGGUAAGACAGAGGAUGCAAGCGUUAUCCGGAAUGAUUGGGCGUAAAGCGUCUGUAGGUGGCUUGGUAAGUCAGAUGUGAAAGCCUGGGGCUUAACCCCAGAAGUGCAUUUGAUACUGCUGAGCUUGAGUGCUGGAGAGGCUAUUAGAAUUCCUGGUGUAGUGGUGAAAUACGUAGAUAUCAGGAGGAAUACCGGAGGCGAAGGCGGAUAGCUGGCCAGACACUGACACUCAGACCCGAAAGCGUGGGGAUCAAACAGGAUUAGAUACCCUGGUAGUCC